Molecule: ribosomal RNA, 502 nt
Filed under: uncultured bacterium
Lineage: Bacteria
Description: partial 16S ribosomal RNA
Rfam family: Bacterial small subunit ribosomal RNA
Source: RNAcentral
AUUGAACGCUGGCGGCAUGCCUUACACAUGCAAGUCGAACGGCAGCACGGGUGCUUGCACCUGGUGGCGAGUGGCGAACGGGUGAGUAAUACAUCGGAACGUACCCAGUCGUGGGGGAUAACGUAGCGAAAGUUACGCUAAUACCGCAUACGUGCUGACGGAGAAAGCGGGGGACCGUAAGUCUCCGCGCCAUUGGAGCGGCCGAUGUCUGAUUAGCUAGUUGGUGAGGUAAAGGCUCACCAAGGCGACGAUCAGUAGCUGGUCUGAGAGGACGAUCAGCCACACUGGAACUGAGACACGGGCCAGGCUCCUACGGGAGGCAGCAGUGGGGAAUUUUGGACAAUGGGCGAAAGCCUGAUCCAGCCAUUCCGCGUGAGUGAAGAAGGCCUUCGGGUUGUAAAGCUCUUUCGGCAGGAACGAAACGCUCUAGAUUAAUACCCUGGGGUAACGACGGUACCUGAAGAAGAAGCACCGGCUAACUACGUGCCAGCAGCCGCCGUAA